GUUUAUCCCAGCAUACAUGCUGUGGCGGUGAAAAGUUCCAGUGAACUGGUCGUGCAAAGUGCUAGAGAUAGACGCAUGAUGAUAAAAAGUAUGCAGCAAGGAAAGGCAUCUUGAAAGUAUGAAGUCGUCACUGAACUAUUAACAUCACUGAAUGUCUAUAAAAGAGGAAGUAUUGUUUCAUUGUCAUUGUUUCCACUUUUUGACAUAAUUUUUCUGGUUGGAUGUUCUGUUACAUACAGAAAUUAGGAAAGUGCUUUCCAAAAUUGCCAAAGAGAAGGACUGCGAGGCAUUACACGAUUGGAUCAGGCCAAUUGAUAAUCACCUGCAUUGGAGUGCCACCUCAACAUUUGAUGGGAAUGGCCUUGUUAUAUUGGCCAAAUUCAAGUCAUUCCUACAACAUAUUGUAAACAUACACUCAUGUCACAGUAACCCGUUGUUUGCAAAAUGUGCCCAUGGUAGUAGCAUUCCAGAUAGAAAGUGGCUGACCGUUGAUUCACCCCUUCAUAAAAAGAUUUGCAAUGCUUUGACAAACAAACGACUGGUAGAUGGGAUCAAACAAGCUUCUCCAUUAGAACAAACUAGCUGUUUGGAGGGCUUUCACAGUGUUUUAAAUCAUUUUGCCCCCAAAAUGAUUGCAUACUGUUAUGCUGGACAGUAUUGCAGGCAUAUUUUAGCUGUUGUGCACUUUAACAACAACCUCAGGAGAGAAAUCAAAACAAAUCCUGACCAAUCAGAAAGAGUCAAAA
Long non-coding RNA from Xenia sp. Carnegie-2017, 746 nucleotides. RefSeq lists it as uncharacterized. NCBI's taxonomy places the organism in Eukaryota, Metazoa, Cnidaria, Anthozoa, Malacalcyonacea, Xeniidae. The transcript is spliced from 4 exons. The record is from RefSeq and is a predicted model, not a curated record.